GAUGAAGAACGCAGCGAAAUGCGAUAAGUAAUGUGAAUUGCAGAAUUCAGUGAAUCAUCGAAUCUUUGAACGCACAUUGCGCCCGCUAGUAUUCUGGCGGGCAUGCCUGUCCGAGCGUCAUUUCAACCCUCAAGCCCCCGGGCUUGGUGUUGGGGAUCGGCGAGCCUCCGCGCCCGCCGUCCCCUAAAUCUAGUGGCGGUCUCGCUGUAGCUUCCUCUGCGUAGUAGCACACCUCGCACUGGGAAACAGCGCGGCCACGCCGUUAAACCCCCAACUUCUGAACGUUUGACCUCGGAUCAGGUAGGUAUACCCGCUGAACUUAAGCAUAUCAAUAAGCGGAGGA
RNAcentral lists this unclassified non-coding RNA (343 nucleotides) under soil metagenome. RNAcentral's name for it is "partial contains 5.8S ribosomal RNA, internal transcribed spacer 2, and large subunit ribosomal RNA". The stretch from base 1 to 120 matches the Rfam family "5.8S ribosomal RNA", at positions 35 to 154 of the family's 154-position model. The record is from RNAcentral.